CAAAAUUCAUUAAAAAUUAUAAUUUUUUUUGCUAAAUUUGAUUUUUAUAUUAAUUUACAAAAAAAACAUAUAGUAAAAUUAAGAUCAAUACAUUAGUCCCUCCUCCCGUAAGACUAAAAGCACCCAAAAAAUCUAGGAAACAAAAUCCUAACCUAUAAUAAGUAACAUUACAUUCCAAGGAUAGGAUUUAAAAUCAAUCAAAUAGGCUAUAAGUGUGACCCAUCCGGAAUAAGAAACCGACCCACAGGUGGACCACAACAAAAAGGCCCAAUUAAAAAACAAACGAGCCCAUAAACCAUCAAUCAAGAGACGGACUAAGCCAUCCAACUGAUGCAAAAUCGACCCAUGUGGCAUAUUAGCAUAUUCACGAAUCCCACUAGCCACUUGAGCAAUCAGAAGCAAGCUGCUGGGAGAAAUUUUAAACUAAAAUUGAAUUUCAAAUUCGAAUUUGAAAUUGCAGUGGAACCAAAAUCAUUGCAUCAUCCCCGAGGCCAACCUCAUAAGUCCACCAAAAUAGACACUCAAACUCCGGCACUAUGCAGGGGAUCAACUCCAUAGAAUCCAGCAAAACCCCACCAUCUUCGGCAAGAUAUCUCAAGAAUCUGCAGAAAGCCAUAGCAUCCUAAGAUGACCAAAAAAGGCAGAAAAGGUUAAAUAAUCCAUUUAUCAAAAAAAUCAAGACAUAUGACAUAAUUGAAACAGAUUUUGGCCAACAGACAAACAUCCUAACCUAAACCCUUAAAAAUAAUGGGCAAUAUUUACAAAGGUACUAGAUCGUAAAGACAUUCGCACGAACCCAAACAAAACUAGUUGAUGGCAUGGACAUACUGAUAUCAUCAAUAAUAUCCAAAUCUAAGCUUUAAAAGAGAUAAGCAGGAAAAACAUAAAAUUCAGAUCGAAAGCAUAAAAUUAACAGACCCAACAAAUAUACAAAUAUACAAAUAUACAAAUAUACAAAUAUACCGAAACUGAUAAAUCCCUUUGAGUAGAAAUAGAUCAACCAAUUACACCAACACUGAGAUCUGAAGAGGAUAAGGCAUUUGAACCACAAAAGUCAGCACGUGAAGCCUCCAUGAUACCAAAAUCAGCUGCCACGGAUAGCCCAUAACCAUCUAUCCACCGACCAGUUCAUAUCCAACAUCUCAAAAACCAAACCGAGCAAUAGCUCCUCUAAUAACAGAACAUAGAAGAUCCCAUAGCCUUUAAACACCAGACUUUUUAAAAGGACUAGUAAAUUAUUUUCGAGAAGAUCCCGCUAAGAGUUGCCGGAUUGCUCCUAACAGAGAUCAAGCUAAUGAAAUGGGAUGGCUGAGGGGCAUACCCCAAAAUAAUAGCAAAUUCACCGAAAGACAAACCAGGGCUAAAGAACAAAAGGAAAAAGACAAGACAUGCCAAGUCCAAACAAAUUAUGCCAUGGCCAUCAUAAGACAGACCCUAUGAUGGCUAAAUUAUAACAAGAGCAAACCCAACAACAUGAUAAAAAUUUAGAAUAAUACAAUGCUUUGAAAAUUUUUAAAAUUAAAAGACUUAAAAGAC
RNAcentral lists this long non-coding RNA (1536 nucleotides) under Panax ginseng (ginseng). Its description in RNAcentral is "long non-coding RNA (PGIN_LNC011146)". Lineage: Eukaryota; Viridiplantae; Streptophyta; Magnoliopsida; Apiales; Araliaceae. The record is from RNAcentral.